This 22-nucleotide microRNA is filed under the name Monodelphis domestica (gray short-tailed opossum). RNAcentral describes it as "mdo-miR-12332-5p". The record is from miRBase by way of RNAcentral. Lineage: Eukaryota; Metazoa; Chordata; Mammalia; Didelphimorphia; Didelphidae.
AGGCGUGGGGGGCCUUGGCCCG